GCCCAUAGGUUGGGUCGUGACAAGUAUUGACUUGAUUUUAGAGUGAUUAUCAAAUGCCAGCAUUUGCAAGUUUCUAACAUCAACACCUGAGAACUCAGGGCAACAUCAGGGAGAGACAUUGAGAAAUUGAGUACAUAGGCAAAACAAAUCUUGACGUUCCUAGCCUGGCAUAGUCUGGUUGGACCGAAUCCAAUUACCCAACCAAACUAGGCAAAGGCAUCCCACUGUUUCAUUGCUCAGUGAUGUUUGUUUAUAAAGGGAAACGAGAAACCUUUGGUGGACACACAGAGUGCGACCAUAUCUGACAUUAGUCAUUGCAAUAUAUGCUAGCUCCACUUGCCUUCUUCUCCUAAACACAGCCAUUAUUCUAUUUGUAUUGUAUCUAUCUAUAUGUGGACGUCUAUCCUGCCCGGUCUCAACUACUUCUCUCAAAAUUAGUAAAACUGGGUUUUAUCCAAGUUAGUCCAAAGUUGUCCUGAACGGCAACAGAUUGAGUAUUUAUAAAUAUUCAAUCUAAUCAAAUUUACGGGUUUAAAUUUAA
This 541-nucleotide unclassified non-coding RNA is filed under the name Hevea brasiliensis (rubber tree). Lineage: Eukaryota; Viridiplantae; Streptophyta; Magnoliopsida; Malpighiales; Euphorbiaceae. The record is from RNAcentral.